AGCAAAUAAUGUCUUUUCUCACGAUACUCUGUGGAUUUCACUGUGUGCAGUAUCAAUGAUAGCCAUGGCUCAGCAGAUACCAGGAG
Dipodomys spectabilis (banner-tailed kangaroo rat) is the source of this 86-nucleotide small nucleolar RNA. RefSeq annotates it as small nucleolar RNA SNORD35. NCBI's taxonomy places the organism in Eukaryota, Metazoa, Chordata, Mammalia, Rodentia, Heteromyidae. The transcript has a single exon. The record is from RefSeq and is a predicted model, not a curated record.